Molecule: transfer RNA, 83 nt
Filed under: bacterium
Lineage: Bacteria
Description: tRNA-Tyr
Rfam family: tRNA
About the family: Transfer RNA (tRNA) molecules are approximately 80 nucleotides in length.
Source: RNAcentral
GGGUCGGUACCGGAGCGGUCAAACGGGGCAGACUGUAAAUCUGCUGGCAUUCGCCUUCGGGGGUUCGAAUCCCUCCCGGCCCA